GAGGGAUCCUGGAGAUAUCGGAAGUGCGAAUGCUGACAUGAGUAACGAUAAUGGGAGUGAAAAACUCCCACGCCGGAAGACCAAGGUUUCCUGUCCCAUGCUAAUCAGGGUAGGGUAAGUCGGCCCCUAAGGCGAGGCAGAAAUGCGUAGUCGAUGGGAACCACGUUAAUAUUCGUGGGCCUGGGAGUGUGUGACGGAUUUCGAAAGUUGUCAUCCCUUAUCGGAUUGGGAUGGCGGCCUGGAAGUCCCUGGAAAUAGCCCUCCCAUAUAGACCGUACCCUAAACCGACACAGGUGGACUGGUAGAGAAUACCAAGGCGCUUGAGAGAACGAUGUUGAAGGAACUCGGCAAAAUACCUCCGUAAGUUCGCGAGAAGGAGGCCCAGUUUCUACGCAAGUAUUGACUGGGGGCACAAACCAGGGGGUGGCGACUGUUUACUAAAAACACAGGGCUCUGCGAAGUGGCUAACACGACGUAUAGGGUCUGACGCCUGCCCGGUGCCGGAAGGUUAAUUGAUGGGGUU
Molecule: ribosomal RNA, 523 nt
Filed under: Prymnesium parvum
Lineage: Eukaryota; Haptophyta; Prymnesiales; Prymnesiaceae
Description: partial Bacterial large subunit ribosomal RNA
Rfam family: Bacterial large subunit ribosomal RNA
Source: RNAcentral